UUAGGUGUCAGUGGUAGGAGAGCGUUCUAACAGCGGAGAAGCAGUACCGGAAGGAGCUGUGGAGCGGUUAGAAGUGAGAAUGCCGGUGUGAGUAGCGAAAGAUAGGUGAGAAUCCUAUCCAUCGAAAGCCUAAGGUUUCCAGGGGAAGGCUCGUCCGCCCUGGGUAAGUCGGGACCUAAGGUGAGGCCGAAAGGCGUAGCCGAUGGACAACAGGUUGAUAUUCCUGUACCACUUAUUAAACUGAUGGAGUGACGGAGAAGGCUAAGUUGAGCGUGUUAAUGGAUUCACGUGUAAGCAGUGAGGUGGUCAUGUAGGCAAAUCCGCAUGGCAUAACAUUGAGCUGUGAUGCCGAAGCCGUAUGGCGAAGUCAACUGAUGUCACGCUUCCAAGAAAAGCUUCUAGGGUUAAUUUAGUAAGUGCCCGUACCGAUAACCGACACAGGUAGGCGAGGAGAGAAUCCUAAGAUGAGCGAGAGAACUCUUGUUAAGGAACUCGGCAAAAUGACCCCGUAACUUCGGGAGAAGGGGUGCUUGUGAAAGCAAGCCGCAGUGAAUAGGCCCAGGCGACUGUUUAUCAAAAACACAGGUCUCUGCUAAACCGCAAGGUGAUGUAUAGGGGCUGACGCCUGCCCGGUGCUGGAAGGUUAAGAGGAGAGGUUAGCGCAAGCGAAGCUUUGAAUUGAAGCCCCAGUAAACGGCGGCCGUAACGAUAACGGUCCUAAGGUAGCGAAAUUCCUUGUCGGGUAAGUUCCGACCCGCACGAAAGGCGUAACGAUCUGGGCGCUGUCUCAACAAGAGACUCGGUGAAAUCAUAGUACCUGUGAAGAUGCAGGUUACCCGCGACAGGACGGAAAGACUCCGUGGAGCUUUACUGUAGCUUGAUAUUGAGCACUGGUGACACAUGUACAGGAUAGGUAGGAGACGAAGAAGCCAGGACGCCAGUCUUGGUGGAGUCGCUGUUGGGAUACUACCCUUGUGUUACUGGGGUUCUAACCCGUGGCCAUGAUCUGGUCAGGGAACAGUGUCAGGUGGGCAGUUUGACUGGGGCGGUCGCCUCCCAAAGAGUAACGGAGGCGCCCAAAGGUUCCCUCAGAAUGGUUGGAAAUCAUUCGAAGAGUGUAAAGGCAGAAGGGAGCUUGACUGCGAGACCUACAAGUCGAGCAGGGACGAAAGUCGGGCUUAGUGAUCCGGCGGUACCGAAUGGAAGGGCCGUCGCUCAACGGAUGAAAGCUACCCCGGGGAUAACAGGCUGAUCUCCCCCAAGAGUUCACAUCGACGGGGAGGUUUGGCACCUCGAUGUCGGCUCAUCGCAUCCUGGGGCUGUAGUCGGUCCCAAGGGUUGGGCUGUUCGCCCAUUAAAGCGGUACGCGAGCUGGGUUCAGAACGUCGUGAGACAGUUCGGUCCCUAUCCGUCGUGGGCGUAGGAAAUUUGAGAGGAGCUGUCCUUAGUACGAGAGGACCGGGAUGGACACACCGCUGGUGUACCAGUUGUUCUGCCAGGAGCAUAGCUGGGUAGCUACGUGUGGACGGGAUAAACGCUGAAAGCAUCUAAGCGUGAAGCCCCCCUCAAGAUGAGAUUUCCCAUUCGAAAGAAGUAAGAUCCCUUGAAGACGACAAGGUAGAUAGGUCAGAAGUGGAAGUGUGGUGACACAUGGAGCGGACUGAUACUAAUCGAUCGAGGACUUAACC
Molecule: ribosomal RNA, 1688 nt
Filed under: metagenome
Description: bacterial LSU rRNA
Rfam family: Bacterial large subunit ribosomal RNA
Source: RNAcentral